Molecule: ribosomal RNA, 112 nt
Organism: Mus spicilegus (steppe mouse)
Lineage: Eukaryota; Metazoa; Chordata; Mammalia; Rodentia; Muridae
Source: Ensembl
GUCUACAGCCGUACCAUCCUGAAUGUGCCCCAUCUUAGCUGAUCUAGGAAGCUAGGCAGGGCCUGGCCUGUUUAGCACUUGGAUGGGGGAAAUGAAGGGGAUUAUGUGGCCC